GACAGAGGGUGCAAACGUUGUUCGGAAUUACUGGGCGUAAAGGGCGCGUAGGCGGCACAGCAAGUCGGGAGUGAAAGCCCGGGGCUCAACCCCGGAAUGGCUUUCGAAACUGCUGAGCUAGAGUACAGAAGGGGCAACCGGAAUUCCCAGUGUAGCGGUGAAAUGCGUAGAUAUUGGGAAGAACACCUGAGGCGAAGGCGGGUUGCUGGGCUGAUACUGACGCUGAGGCGCGAAAGCCAGGGGAGCAAACGGG
This 253-nucleotide ribosomal RNA is filed under the name uncultured bacterium. RNAcentral's name for it is "partial 16S ribosomal RNA". It matches the Rfam family "Bacterial small subunit ribosomal RNA", at positions 524 to 776 of the family's 1533-position model. The record is from RNAcentral.